This 265-nucleotide ribosomal RNA is filed under the name uncultured bacterium. Its description in RNAcentral is "partial 16S ribosomal RNA". It matches the Rfam family "Bacterial small subunit ribosomal RNA", at positions 793 to 1055 of the family's 1533-position model. The record is from RNAcentral.
GUCCACGCCCUAAACGAUGUCGACUGGUUGUUGGGGGUUUGACACUCUCAGUAACGAAGCUAACGCGUGAAGUCGACCGCCUGGGGAGUACGGCCGCAAGGUUAAAACUCAAAGGAAUUGACGGGGACCCGCACAAGCGGUGGAUUAUGUGGAUUAAUUCGAUGCAACGCGAAAAACCUUACCUACCCUUGACAUGUCCUGGAGCCUGGUGAAAGCCGGGUGUGCCCGAAAGGGAACGGGAACACAGGUGCUGCAUGGCUGUCGU